This 448-nucleotide ribosomal RNA is filed under the name uncultured bacterium. Its description in RNAcentral is "bacterial SSU rRNA". It matches the Rfam family "Bacterial small subunit ribosomal RNA", at positions 329 to 793 of the family's 1533-position model. The record is from RNAcentral.
GGCCAGACUCCUACGGGAGGCAGCAGUGGGGAAUAUUGCACAAUGGGGGAAACCCUGAUGCAGCGACGCCGCGUGAGUGAAGAAGUAUUUCGGUAUGUAAAGCUCUAUCAGCAGGGAAGAAAAAAGACGGUACCUGACUAAGAAGCCCCGGCUAACUACGUGCCAGCAGCCGCGGUAAUACGUAGGGGGCAAGCGUUAUCCGGAUUUACUGGGUGUAAAGGGAGCGUAGACGGCGCGGCAAGUCUGAAGUGAAAGGCGGGGGCUUAACCCCUGAACUGCUUUGGAAACUGUGCAGCUAGAGUGCAGGAGAGGUAAGUGGAAUUCCUAGUGUAGCGGUGAAAUGCGUAGAUAUUAGGAGGAACACCAGUGGCGAAGGCGGCUUACUGGACUGUAAAUGACGUUGAGGCUCGAAAGCGUGGGGAGCAAACAGGAUUAGAUACCCCAGUAU